CUUGGUCAUUUAGAGGAAGUAAAAGUCGUAACAAGGUUUCCGUAGGUGAACCUGCGGAAGGAUCAUUAGUGAACGCCCUCACGGGCUUAUAACUAUUCCAAACCUCUGUGAACCGUGCCCUUCGGGGCUAUUUUACAAACAUGGUGUAAUGAACGUCAUAUAUCAUAACAAAACAAAACUUUCAACAACGGAUCUCUUGGCUCUCGCAUCGAUGAGGAACGCAGCGAAAUGCGAUAAGUAAUGUGAAUUGCAGAAUUCAGUGAAUCAUCGAAUCUUUGAACGCACCUUGCGCCCUCUGGUAUUCCGGAGGGCAUGCCUGUUUGAGUGUCAUGUAGACUCAAUCCCUCGGGUUUCCGAGGAGAUUGGACUUGGGUGUUGCCGCUCUGCCGGCUCGCCUUAAAAGACUUAGCGGGAUAGCACCGUAGUCGGCGUAAUAAGUUUCGUCGGUGAAGGUUGUGAUGACUGCUUACAAUCGCCCUUGGGCAAUUUUUGACUCUGACCUCAAAUCAGGUAGGACUACCCGCUGAACUUAAGCAUAUCAAUAAGCGGAGGA
RNAcentral lists this ribosomal RNA (553 nucleotides) under uncultured fungus. RNAcentral's name for it is "eukaryotic LSU rRNA". The stretch from base 177 to 330 matches the Rfam family "5.8S ribosomal RNA". The record is from RNAcentral. Lineage: Eukaryota; Fungi.